RNAcentral lists this ribosomal RNA (450 nucleotides) under uncultured bacterium. Its description in RNAcentral is "bacterial SSU rRNA". It matches the Rfam family "Bacterial small subunit ribosomal RNA", at positions 28 to 478 of the family's 1533-position model. The record is from RNAcentral.
GAUGAACGCUGGCGGCGUGCUUAACACAUGCAAGUCGAGCGAAGCGCUUUGGAAAGAUUCUUCGGAUGAUUUCCUUUGUGACUGAGCGGCGGACGGGUGAGUAACGCGUGGGUAACCUGCCUCAUACAGGGGGAUAACAGUUAGAAAUGACUGCUAAUACCGCAUAAGACCACGGUACCGCAUGGUACAGUGGUAAAAACUCCGGUGGUAUGAGAUGGACCCGCGUCUGAUUAGGUAGUUGGUGGGGUAACGGCCUACCAAGCCGACGAUCAGUAGCCGACCUGAGAGGGUGACCGGCCACAUUGGGACUGAGACACGGCCCAGACUCCUACGGGAGGCAGCAGUGGGGAAUAUUGCACAAUGGAGGAAACUCUGAUGCAGCGACGCCGCGUGAAGGAUGAAGUAUUUCGGUAUGUAAACUUCUAUCAGCAGGGAAGAAAAUGACGGUAC